Molecule: ribosomal RNA, 120 nt
Organism: Bison bison bison
Lineage: Eukaryota; Metazoa; Chordata; Mammalia; Artiodactyla; Bovidae
Source: Ensembl
GUCUCAGGCCGUAUCAGCCUGAUGGCGCCCGAUCUCGUCUGAUCUCGGAAGCUAAGCAGGGUCGGGCCUGGUUAGUAUCUUGGAUGGGAAACCACCUGGGAAUCCCGGGUGCUCGAGGCU